This 781-nucleotide ribosomal RNA is filed under the name uncultured Nitrospirales bacterium. RNAcentral's name for it is "bacterial SSU rRNA". It matches the Rfam family "Bacterial small subunit ribosomal RNA", at positions 117 to 916 of the family's 1533-position model. Lineage: Bacteria; Pseudomonadati; Nitrospirota; Nitrospiria; Nitrospirales. The record is from RNAcentral.
GUGGGUAACCUACCCUCGGGAGGGGGACAACUCCGGGAAACCGAAGCUAAUACCGCGUAAGACCACGGACUGAAAUGUCAGUGGUAAAAGUGGUAACACGCCCGAGGAUGGGCCCGCGUCCUAUCAGGUUGUUGGUAGGGUAACGGCCUACCAAGCCUAAGACGGGUAGCCGGUCUGAGAGGAUGGACGGCCACACUGGAACUGAGACACGGUCCAGACUCCUACGGGAGGCAGCAGUGAGGAAUUUUGCGCAAUGGGCGAAAGCCUGACGCAGCGACGCCGCGUGAAGGACGAAGGCCUUCGGGUUGUAAACUUCUUUUCUCGGGGAAGAUAGUGACGGUACCCGAGGAAUAAGCCACGGCUAACUCUGUGCCAGCAGCCGCGGUAAGACAGAGGUGGCAAGCGUUGUUCGGAAUCACUGGGCUUAAAGGGCGCGUAGGCGGUGUGGUAAGUCCGGGGUGGAAUCCUAUGGCUCAACCAUAGAAUUGCCUCGGAAACUGCUGCACUUGAGUCAGUGAGAGGAGGGCGGAAUUCCUGGUGUAGCAGUGAAAUGCGUAGAUAUCAGGAGGAAGGCCAGUGGCGAAGGCGGCCCUCUGGCACUUGACUGACGCUGAGGCGCGAAAGCGUGGGUAGCAAACAGGAUUAGAUACCCUGGUAGUCCACGCCCUAAAGCGGUGGGCAUUAGGUGUAGGGCUCGCGAGAGUUCUGUGCCGUAGGGAAACCAUUAAAUGCCCCGCCUGGGGAGUACGGCCGCAAGGUUAAAACUCAAAUGAAUUGACNG